GACGAACGCUGGCGGCGUGCUUAACACAUGCAAGUCGAACGGAAAGGCCCUGCUUGCUGGGUACUCGAGUGGCGAACGGGUGAGUAACACGUGUGUGAUCUGCCCUGCACUUCGGGAUAAGCCUGGGAAACUGGGUCUAAUACCGGAUAGGAGCCAUUUUUAGUGUGAUGGUUGGAAAGUUUUUUCGGUGUAGGAUGAGCUCGCGGCCUAUCAGCUUGUUGGUGGGGUAAUGGCCUACCAAGGCGGCGACGGGUAGCCGGCCUGGGAGGGUGGACGGCCACAGUGGGACUGAGACACGGCCCAGACCCCUACGGGAGGCAGAAGUGGGGAAGAUUGCACAAGGGGCGCAAGCCUGAUGCAGAGACGCCGCGGGGGGGAUGACGGUCUUCGGGUUGGAAACUCCUUUCGCUAGGGACGAAGCUGUUUGUGACGGUACCUAGAUAAGAAGCACCGGCUAACUACGUG
This 465-nucleotide ribosomal RNA is filed under the name uncultured bacterium. RNAcentral's name for it is "partial 16S ribosomal RNA". It matches the Rfam family "Bacterial small subunit ribosomal RNA", at positions 28 to 507 of the family's 1533-position model. The record is from RNAcentral.